CCUACGGGAGGCAGCAGUAGGGAAUCUUGGACAAUGGGCGCAAGCCUGAUCCAGCCAUGCCGCGUGUGUGAUGAAGGCCCUAGGGUUGUAAAGCACUUUCGCCAGGGAAGAUAAUGACGGUACCUGGAUAAGAAGCCCCGGCUAACUUCGUGCCAGCAGCCGCGGUAAUACGAAGGGGGCUAGCGUUGUUCGGAAUUACUGGGCGUAAAGCGCACGUAGGCGGCAUUCCAAGUUGGAGGUGUAAUCCCCGGGCUUAACCUGGGAACUGCCUCCAAAACUGGGAAGCUCGAGUCCGAGAGAGGUGAGUGGAAUUUCCAGUGUAGAGGUGAAAUUCGUAGAUAUUGGAAAGAACACCAGUGGCGAAGGCGGCUCACUGGCUCGGUACUGACGCUGAGGAGCGACAGCGUGGGGAGCAAACAGGAUUAGAUACCCUGGUAGUCCACGCCGUAAACUAUGGGUGCUAGUUGCCGGGCAGCUUGCUGUUCGGUGACGCAGCUAACGCAUUAAGCACCCCGCCUGGGGAGUACGGUCGCAAGAUUAAAACUCAAAGGAAUUGACGG
This 560-nucleotide ribosomal RNA is filed under the name uncultured Parvibaculum sp. Its description in RNAcentral is "bacterial SSU rRNA". It matches the Rfam family "Bacterial small subunit ribosomal RNA", at positions 338 to 916 of the family's 1533-position model. Lineage: Bacteria; Pseudomonadati; Pseudomonadota; Alphaproteobacteria; Hyphomicrobiales; Parvibaculaceae. The record is from RNAcentral.